AGGGCAGUGGCUCAAUUGGCAGAGCACCGGUCUCCAAAACCGGCGGUUGAGGGUUCGAGUCCCUCCUGCCCUGCAA
This 76-nucleotide transfer RNA is filed under the name Acidimicrobiaceae bacterium. RNAcentral describes it as "tRNA-Trp". It matches the Rfam family "tRNA". From Rfam's summary of the family: Transfer RNA (tRNA) molecules are approximately 80 nucleotides in length. Their secondary structure includes four short double-helical elements and three loops (D, anti-codon, and T loops). Further hydrogen bonds mediate the characteristic L-shaped molecular structure. tRNAs have two regions of fundamental functional importance: the anti-codon, which is responsible for specific mRNA codon recognition, and the 3' end, to which the tRNAs corresponding amino acid is attached (by aminoacyl-tRNA synthetases). tRNAs cope with the degeneracy of the genetic code in two manners: having more than one tRNA (with a specific anti-codon) for a particular amino acid; and 'wobble' base-pairing, i.e. permitting non-standard base-pairing at the 3rd anti-codon position. The record is from RNAcentral. Lineage: Bacteria; Bacillati; Actinomycetota; Acidimicrobiia; Acidimicrobiales; Acidimicrobiaceae.